CGGGCUCGCCCAAUGCACGCCCUCGGAUUCCCUAAGGCUUUGUGCCCUGUGCCCUCAGGGCAUUUCCGAACAAUUCAGCAAACCUUCCAGGCUUCUACAACCCAGCUGCAAACUGUCUCUCUUCCUCUGUAGACAAGGGAAGAGGCAUUUCAACGAAGACAGGUGUUUCCAGGCCACCAGGUAUGACCAAAAGCUUCGCUCAUUCUACCUCAUUCUGCACGUGGCCCAAGCUGUCACAACACCAGUCAACACGAGGUCUGCACAGUAAGUGACUGCGCACCCGAACUGGAAGCGUCUGCUCAAAACACGUGCCCGCCUUCUCGGGAAACAGUCUGCACCCAGGGACCGGCGGUCCCCGCCCCAAAGGCCGCAGGCUCCAGGGCGGACGCGGCACCCGCGAGGCUCGCGCCUCCGUCCUUCCAGCGUCCUCCCCGCGCGGGCACCGCUGCCCUACCCUCCAAGACAGGCCGGAGCCGCCGUCCCCUCCGGCUGGGCCUCCCCCGCACUGCGCCAGGGGCCGGUGCUCGGCGUCUGCACCCUCGGGGGACCCAACCGGCCCUCGGCCCGCGAGCUCAGCGCUGGAGGGCAGGCGCGACUCGAGGCUCGCUCUGGACCCGGACACAGACUCCGCGGCCGGCCGCGUCCCGGUGUCACCGGCCCGGGCGCGGCCGCAGCUCCCCGGGCUCCCGCCACCAGACCCCGGCCUGCCGGUCCCCGCGUCCCCAGCCCCACACAGUGCUGAGCCCCAGCGAUCGCGGGUGCGGGCCCGGCCUCCCGCCUCAGGCCGCAGCGAUCCGGUCAGAGGCAGGGAAACCGCGAGGCGGCGGGAGCCCCGCUCGGCGCAACAGGCCCACCACAGCCCCGGGCCCGGCCUCCACAGCCACGACCCGACCGCGCCGGGCCCGCCCGGAGGGCCGCGCACCGCAGGGAACAGCCGGGGACCCGCACACGCCCCCGCCCAGCUCCGGGACCGCCGACACCUCCUGCCCCCCGCCCAGAACCCGCCGGGCCCCUACCUGCGCCGCGCUCCCCUCGCCGGCGUCGGCAGCUCGGCGACCCGGCGGCCGACUUCCGCUCCUCCCCACCACCACUGAGGGCACGGCGGGCGAGGCUAGAGGGGCCCAGGGCCACCACAGAGAGGCCCGGGGAAGCCUAGAGCGGAGCCGCAGCGUCCGGACGGAAGGGGCGGGGCCCCGCGGACAUCCCUGACGCCGAGAGAUGACGUUGCUCAGAGGCCGCCAGGGGAGGCCGUCUGCCCCGUGGCCGGAGUGGAGUUUGACCAGGGGAGCCUCACUUAGACUCCGGGAGUGUACCGCUUCCUCCCUCCUCAUACCUUCUGCAGCCUCUCACGUCACAGGCGCUUGAGGUGGGCUCAGUCCUGACACCCAUGGCGGAUUUGCAUCCUAGAGAAUCAACGGCCAGCAACCUGCGAGGUGACACUCCAUAAAGCCUCUUCUCUGCUUUCCAAGGCUGCUUUAAUUCUCCAAACGACCUAGACCAUUGAUGCCUGAAGACCUAGUGAGAGGCUGUCUUCAUCGUAGGGGAUUCCUGACUGGCAACCCCUCCUGCUGGCUCUGAAACACACUAUGAUUGUUUAUUCUUC
Molecule: long non-coding RNA, 1603 nt
Filed under: Equus asinus (donkey)
Lineage: Eukaryota; Metazoa; Chordata; Mammalia; Perissodactyla; Equidae
Description: lncRNA (ENSEASG00005032162.1)
Source: RNAcentral